GAGCACGUAGGUGGGUUUGUAAGUCAGAUGUGAAAGCCUUCUGUUCAACGGAAGAAUUGCAUCUGAAACUGCGAGUCUUGAGUGUAGGAGGGGAGAAUGGAACUUCUGGUGGAGCGGUGAAAUGCGUAGAUAUCAGAAGGAACUCCGGCGGCGAAAGCGAUUCUCUGGCCUAUUACUGACACUCAGUGUGCGAAAGCUAGGGGAGCAAACGGGAUUAGAUACCCCGGUAGCCCUAGCCGUAAACGAUGGGCACUAAGUAGAGGGGUUUU
RNAcentral lists this ribosomal RNA (269 nucleotides) under uncultured Planctomycetales bacterium. RNAcentral's name for it is "partial 16S ribosomal RNA". It matches the Rfam family "Bacterial small subunit ribosomal RNA", at positions 565 to 832 of the family's 1533-position model. Lineage: Bacteria; Pseudomonadati; Planctomycetota; Planctomycetia; Planctomycetales. The record is from RNAcentral.